CCAGGUGAGAGCAGCUCAUUUUGCACCAGUAGCUGUCUGAAGAAGCAGACCCUGGUCACUAUCUGGAGUCAACGCACGCCAGCAAGCGCAACUCCCCUGAUUUUGGCAUUUCUGUACAGGCCUUGUCAGUUAAAAAUGUUCUGUAAUGUGAGCGUGGAUUUGAAUUUCACACUGCAGCAAACCAGCACGACCGCACCCCGGGCUCUGACCGCCUGCUACGCCCGCAGCAAGAGCCCGUGGUGCUCCGCGGGCAGGAGCCCCCUCCUCACACUGCUGACAAACUGGGGCAUGGGGGGCGCAGCGUCGGCACAGGCAGCCACAGGCAGCACGGCUACCGGAACAACUGAAAGCUUCCAAGUUCGGCUACAUCGAGUCAUUCACAGUCAAGCUGAACAGAACAAGUACAGAUGAAUUAGCUAGUAAAAAAAAAAAAAAAAAAAAAAAAGACUUUGGUGGGAGAUCGCAUUCCCAGUUUUUAUAAGCAUCACUGCUUAUAAUCACAGUCCUGAACUCAGCACUGUCCUCGUCCCACUGAUAUAUAUUCAAAAAAAUUUCAGCACAGCCAUGUUCUAAGCUGCUUCUAGAAAGGGUCUGGCUAUAUGCUAGCCAAAUUUUCAGCAAAACCGAAGUUAGCUCUGUAAUAACUCAGCCUGAAUUAGCUGCUACUGAAGUCGUACAAACUCUCAAGUGAGCUGGGCUACGUUUGCCUGUUCCAGAUGGGAAAACCUGCAUCUCCCCUGCAUU
Molecule: long non-coding RNA, 744 nt
Organism: Oxyura jamaicensis (ruddy duck)
Lineage: Eukaryota; Metazoa; Chordata; Aves; Anseriformes; Anatidae
Exons: 3
Source: RefSeq, a predicted model, not a curated record